ACACACACCACACACACAGAGAUAACACACACCACACAUACACACACACCACACACACAGAGAGAUAACACACCACACAUACACACACACCACACACACAUUCUGAAAGGCAUCAAUCCGUUACAUAAAAACGAAGGGCUAGACACACUUGCAAUGUCGGAAUGACACCGCGCCCCCGAUUUGUAAUGACUAAGUCCGCUUGUAUGUCAUCGACAAUCUCCAGGAUGUCAGUACAUCGAGUUACAAGCGCCAUCUCUACACUUAGUGGCGGAACCACCCGCUAGCGCAGUCGAACGAGGAGACAUUUCUCAGCCUUUGCCGGACAUAAAGGGUGGGCGACCUUUGAUGGCCCCUAAGUGCCAGACGGUGGGUACAAUAGGAACGUACCCGUUCUGAUCGGUACAAAUGUGCUCACACACUUUCUGCAGCUGGCUAGAGAGACCCAUGGAGCCUACUUCCUGCAGGCAGCAUCACUGAGCACACCUUGGCAUCUGUCGUACCGGUGUAUCGUACAGCGGGAGAGGAAUCUCUCUAGGAAUAACAACUGCCUGGCAGUGGUACGUAACGGCGACAAAGAUAUUGUACUACAGCGCUUGGAAGAGAAUGGAUUAAAACUAAACCCCAAGAUGUGUUCAUUCUGCCAGGACAAAGUGAGGUAUGUCAGGCAUAUUGUCCCCUCACAAGGGAUUGAAUCUGGCCCAGAAAAAUGUGCAAAAGGGCGUGACUGGCCGACUCCUGCAACCCCAGAGGACGUUGGACGAUGUCUAGGUUUUGCAGGAUACUACAGAAGAUGUGUGAAGGGGUUCCCCAAAAUCGCAAAACCACUUGUCGAUCUGACGCCAGUAUCUCAGAAGCAGAAAAUGGGCAGGAAGACAUCUGACAAGAGCCAACAAGCCAAGUGGCAGUGGGGCCAGGAGGAGGAGGCAGCAUUUCAGACGUUAAAGGACUUUUCUCCACCAAUUUUGGGGUCCCCUGACUAUAAGCUACCCUUCCAGCUGCAUGUCGAUGCUAGCGCGCCGGGGUUAGGAGCAGUCCUCUAUCAGGAACAGCUGGCAGCGCUGGCGAGCUACAACUUCGACAUCACGUACAGGUCAGGCAGCAGCAAAUUAACGUAGACGCUGACGCACUGUCGAGGCUGCCAGAGCAUCACAUCGAGGGAGAGUCCGUGCGAGCAAUAUGUAAUUCAGUACAGCCCGUCGCGUACGUAGAAUGUCUUUCAUUCUCUAUGAGGGUGGUAGACGAGAACCUCACGCCGCCAGGCCUGAGUCUGGGGAGUCUGUCCACAACAGAUGUGGAAGAGGCCCAAAGACGCGACCCUGUUCUUUCACAGUGGAUGGACUGCAUAGAAAAAAGCCAGCUGCUUUCGUCGUGUGAAGCAGCAACGGGACCCGUCCAUCGUGCGUUGCAACAAAACUUUAACCAUCUGAAGCUGAGAGAUGGGGUCUUAUAUCGUGAAACAAUUAUCAAUGAGUAGCCGCGCAAACAGCUGGUACUGCCAUCUAGCUACGUGCCCAGAGUGUUGCAAAUGUUGCACGGUGAUGUGGGUCACCCAGGUCGUGAUCGAACGCUGCACCUUUUGCAAGGCAGGUUUUAUUGGACAGGGAUGUCCAGUGAUGUGGACAAUUAUAUGAAGACGUGUCCGCGGUGUAUUCGCAGAAAGGUGCCAGCGGACAGUCGUGCACCGCUAGUAAAUGUUGUUACGACUCAACCACUGGAGCUGGUGUGCUUCGACUUCCUUACCCUAGAAGGAGCUAAUGGAGGCUUCCAGCACAUCUUAGUGAUUGCGGAUCACUUCAACCGGUAUGCACCGGCCUGGCAACGCUCUGGGAGUACGUGUUAAGCCAGCAGCAGACAAUACCUUCACCUGCAUCCGCAGGAGCAGUGGAGACAAUUAGGGGUUGCUGCUUCUGUCUGUUAAUGUUAGGCAGGCAUUAUCGCCCUUACCCGUGCGUGAGCGAGGUUGCUGCGUCAUAAUCUAACGUCAUAAUCUGACGCAAUUUUGGAUUUUAUUUGACGUUUUGGGGAGAAAAGAAAACUGAUUGAGGCAGACGACAGAAAAAUAACGUGCAGAAGUGAAAUGUUAAGCCAGAAGUCUGAAACAAAGACGAAAUGAAAGAGCCUACUCAGCGGCUGCCUUCGGAAUCCUCCUUAAUCGUUCCUCUACAUUAGUUCCUUUACUCGGCAAGGAACCAAAUCCACUGAUUUCCCUGCCUGUAUUCACACCUGUACAGCUAGGACCAACCGUCUCGGUGGCUGCCUCGGGAAUCCUUCUACUCAGUAAUUUUUCAUACCAUAGAGAUUCGAUGAACCUUGCUCACUUCUGCACGUUAUUUUUCUGUCGUCUGCCUCAAUCAGUUUUCUUUUCUGCUUCAAACCGGUGAUGCCCCAGGAAAAUUCCAAAAAUUAAAAAAGUGCGUGAAGAAAUCAACUACGCCAAAUGCUUGCAAGUUGCUGCGUAAAUAUUUCGUCUGCUAAUUCUCUCCCGUCUCUGCCCCAACUUUGAGAAAAGCUGCAAUCCUUGGGAUCCUUGCAACGGAAAGGGAACCCCGUCUGCUUGUGAACUACUCUGGGCGUGCCCACGCAGAUUAUACCCAGACGUUUAGAACUGCCCGGAGGUUUCGAUCUACUACAGCGGAAGCCAUGGCAGAAAUAAAAUUGUUCAGAAAAUGGUCUGCCGACGCUGUUCAAGUAUCAGACAUCAGCUUGACGGAUUAUAUUGCAGUCAAGGAGAAGUAUGUCAAUUUUCUACAACACUCUGCAGGACGUUACCAAGUCAAGCAUUUUCCAUAAGGCUCAACGCCCCAUUGUAAAGCGCUUAGCAUGCAGUCUCAUGAUGCCUGGAACGUAACAAUGGCAAGAAACUCACAGCCAUUCGCAUUGUAAAGCAUGCUUUUGAGAUCAUCCACCUGUUGACAGGGGAGGUGUGUAUCAUUUUUUGUAUAACUUUUUAUAUUUGUAUUCUUGUCAGCCUGUCAGGUGAUUUGAUUGUUUUUCUGUUUGUUAUAAAAAGGCUUCAUGAAAGCUUUUCCGUAGCGGACAGAUAUUUUACCCAAUUGUCAGCAAGGAUCUCUUUUGUCAUGUAAAUGCUUUUCACUUGAUCAAAUAUUUGUCUAGUUUAGGCCUUCUGCAUACUUAGCUCUUUCAAGAGCCUGCUUCGGCAUCACCUGCAGCUUACAGCACCUGUUACCAUUUCCUGUUGUGUUUCUUGUCUGCCACUGUCCCAAAGCUAAUUUGUUGAUUAUAAGCUUUUGUGGUGGGCUGAUGGUGCCUUUGUUAAAACAUUAUUUUAAUGGGCAUAAUUUAUUUUUUACGAAUAUUUUUUUGCAAGCAUUAUUAAAACAUAGUGUGUUAACUUUUUUAGCAUGUUUAUAAAAUGUUUCAGUGCUAUCUGGGAGAGCUUUACAUCAUUUGCACAGAUAACAAAGGUUGGGUGGGGGCUGGAUUGUCUUAUUUAAACCAAUUGUAACAAACAGAAUGUGUGAAGACAAUUAUGUAUAACAUUCUUAACAAACAUAAUGAAAAAUGCUAUUUAAUCAGGUUUGUAGCCAUUCAGUUUGUAGAGAGCACAUCAUUGUCAGCCCCU
Molecule: long non-coding RNA, 3583 nt
Filed under: Pomacea canaliculata
Lineage: Eukaryota; Metazoa; Mollusca; Gastropoda; Architaenioglossa; Ampullariidae
Description: uncharacterized LOC112573291, transcript variant X2
Source: RNAcentral